UGCCAUACCAUGCUGAAUAUACCGGUUCUCGUUAGAUCACCGAAGUCAAGCAUCAUUGGGCGCGGUCGGUACUUGGGUGGGUGACCACCUGGGAACAUCGCGUGCCGUU
Molecule: ribosomal RNA, 109 nt
Filed under: Caerostris darwini
Lineage: Eukaryota; Metazoa; Arthropoda; Arachnida; Araneae; Araneidae
Source: RNAcentral